UUUUACCCAAUAUUUCAAGGGAUUUUCCUGCAGGACCAGGAUCAAGUGUGAUGUGACAGUUUUUCCAUGCUGUGAACUUGCCCAUGGGAUGUGGUGUCACCCAGCAGGCCCUGUACAGCUCCCACAGCUGUGGCUGCGCAGCUGGAACUGGGAUUAAAGGCAUCCAGAGUGGCCAGUGCUGGUUACUUUAGGAGAAGAUAUGAGAAACACUGUGAUAAUUGUUUUCACAGGAAAUCUGUCUUUCUGCCACUUAUACUUUUCUUCUGCCAUAGUGCUGCAAGCAGCUGUGUGAAGACACCCAGACAGCAGCAUGUUUGCCAGCUUGGCUGUGACAGCACCCUGGGUCCCUUCUCAGCAGUCAGCAUGCAGGGAUGGUGCAGAUAUGUCCCUUGAGAACUCUUCUUUUGGGUGGAGAACAGAGAAGCAUACCCCCAGGAAGUGAUGGCAAUAAUGAAACUUGUUUAAAGAUAAUAACUCACCAUGAUGACAAGACAACCCUUAAGCCUCAUUUAACAUCUGACUUUAUUGGCCCACUACCUUCACCAUUUACUAUACAGCAAAAAACUUGGAAGACAGCCCAAAAGGAAAAGUCACAGUUGUAUUCCUGAGCUGAGUGGUUUGAUAUUCACCAGCCAGUGAAAUGAAACUGAAGAAAAUUGGUUAUUAGAAGACCACUUCUGCUGCACACCAAAAUCUCCUGUGGAAGAUCUUCGGAGUGAGGAGCAGAGGGGGAAGCAAGACUUUUGAGAAAGCACUUCUGCCCACAAACUGCUUUUUCUCUGAGUGGAGAGCACUCCCUGGUGUGGCUGCACCACUGUUCUGCUUGAAAUCACACAGGAGGGCACCAGCCAGGGACAUCCAGACUUCCUCUGACACUCUGCUGUGCCUACACAGCAGUGAAAAAGUCCACGUGGAGAUGCCUAAGCUGGCUCUGAGGAAAAGAGCAGGACUCUGUAGAACAGCACGCUUUCACUCAGGGCAGCAGUGCAGCCAUCCCUGCCAUCUCUGGGUAAUUCAUCACUGUGGGCCCCUGUGCUUUUAUUCCUGCUGGGUUUCUCUGGCUGGUGUACAUGCUGGACACCUGCGGCCUGAAGACAAUUCCACCCUCUCAGGGCUUCAGAGGAGCCUGGGGCUGUAGGGAUUUUGGUUAGGAGGUGGGGUUCUUCGUGCUGGUGGGAUGGGACAAGCAGAUCAGCCUUGCUUUCACCCUUUUGCCUUUCCAGAAAGCCAACCAAUGAGUGCAGUGUUAUGGCCUUGUGGUUUUUACAACACAUAAGAUAUGUACAAGACAAAGAAACCUGUGAACUGCUGGCUGCCAUGAAAAAAUGAUGCACUUUAGGCAACAAUACAGUUAAAUUUACUUUUUACUGGUUUGUGAAGGGGCUAUACUUAGUGUUUUCCUUGUGGAAGAUGUCAAUCCCUGUUAACUUUCCUGAUGACGUUCCUCAGCUCUGAAUGCUCUGCCCUGGAUCCUGCAGGAGAGUUUCCCACUGCUAACAUCUCAAUUCCAGUUUAGUGCUGUUGGUGGUGCUUGCUUUUCCUCGGUGGUCUCCCUCAGGCAGCUGGA
Molecule: long non-coding RNA, 1567 nt
Organism: Cyanistes caeruleus (blue tit)
Lineage: Eukaryota; Metazoa; Chordata; Aves; Passeriformes; Paridae
Source: Ensembl